UAUUUACUACAUUCAAAUACAGAGAUGUUCGUUAUAGGCUCAAGAUGUUAAAUAUUUUAUAUCAAAAGCUCUCUUUGAUCCUCUAUAUAUAAGGAUUGAACUCUUAUUUGGGUGUUUACAGUAGUAUUACGUCUUUCUAUGAGUAUUGUUCUUUAGAUAAUUAUUCACAUUUUUUAGGAUGAGGAGAAUAAUGAAAUUAAGGAUCUUAUUAGUUCUGCCAUUUUGGACUCAGAAGUAUCGGGUGGUUUAAGAUGGCCUUUAGACAAGCGUCGUUCUUCAGGGGGUCGAUAUGUUGUUAAUGUUAUUGGUCACACAACUGCAAAAUCAUAUAGGAAUUCAUCAAUUAGGUUUAAGUUUCGACAUGCAAAUCGAUCUAAAUUCAAAUCUUCAACUGGUGAGGUUACACAGGAGAUUUUCCUGAAAAUGCCUGGAAUUGUAUCAGAGUUACGUAAGCAAACAAUGGACGAAGAUCUGGUGUUUGAAAUGCUGAAAAACAACUUGAAGUUAAUUUGGGAUCUUUGUCUGUUAGAUGGCUCGAACUCACAGUCUUAGAGUUAGAAGUGAAGGGUGUUUGUCGUCCGAGCAACUUCAUCUGUAAUUAGCUUUGUUGUUAACCUGUAAUGAAUAGAACAUCUUACUUGAGUUGUCA
Solanum tuberosum (potato) is the source of this 649-nucleotide long non-coding RNA. RefSeq lists it as uncharacterized. NCBI's taxonomy places the organism in Eukaryota, Viridiplantae, Streptophyta, Magnoliopsida, Solanales, Solanaceae. The record is from RefSeq and is a predicted model, not a curated record. The transcript has 2 exons.